GCUCAGUUGGCUAGCAGACGUCCACUGAUGUGGUUGUACACAGACGACGCCGAGCUAAAAACCUUAGAAAGAACGGCGGACUGACAUCCUCGUGAAGUGAGAAAGACGGACUGCCUGUCAUCCGUUCCGCAACUUCACGAGGCACUACCGAGAUCUGCUCGCUGGAGUUCUGAGAUUGUCGGCCAGUUUGCCUCACAUCUUUGGCUUACGGAACAGUUGGCACUCAGAAAACCUUCCGACUCCCGGCCUCCAUUGUUACCAGUCUUGUGCAACGCUUUCCCUUCUGUUCAUUCCUUAUCGUUUCAAAGAACAGGAACUGUUUUCAUUUGGAGCACGAUUACGGUUUCAUUCCAUCAUCCUCAUGUUUGUACCCGUCUGUAAAAGCGUCUAGCCUUCAGCAAACUGCUCCCAAGAAGCUGUGUGCUGUUUCGUACGUUCGAACUACGCUCGUUCUCGGAGUAAUUGUCGCUCCGCCUCAGAGAAUUCAACAUGCGCUUCAAUCUGCACAUGAUGCUGUUGGUGGCGUUGCUAACAGUAGCGUUCUUCGCCACAAGUUCGCGUGCCGCACCUGCAGAAAAGACCGAUGACAAAGUUCCGGAGCCAGAGCCUAAGCCGCCGGUGCGUUUGUAUCUGGAAGUCCCGGCGCCUGAGGGGCCACCGGUGCCCUUCAUGGGAACAAGGAACUGACACCAUUCGACAAUCUGGGAGUCUCGCGGACACGGAGGUAAUCGGGAGGAAGCAGGAACGCAAAAGGGGCCAUCAGACGGUGUUCAAAGCCGAGAAGAUGUUAGAAUCCUCUAUGAAUUGAAAUAAUUUGUAUUAUCUGCUCCCAGUUGACGUGUGGAUGAUGAUAUGUCUAUCACAUGCUACCGAUUGUCCAUUAUCUCGAUUCUGCGGAGUCACGAAUAGGAUUGAUUACUGCUAAGUGAACAGACCGCUGGUCCCAACCCCGCUACGGUCGAUAAUAUAACCCUCGGUCCGCUG
Amphibalanus amphitrite is the source of this 984-nucleotide long non-coding RNA. RefSeq lists it as uncharacterized. The transcript is spliced from 2 exons. The record is from RefSeq and is a predicted model, not a curated record. NCBI's taxonomy places the organism in Eukaryota, Metazoa, Arthropoda, Thecostraca, Balanomorpha, Balanidae.